This 73-nucleotide transfer RNA is filed under the name Blattella germanica (German cockroach). Its description in RNAcentral is "tRNA-Sup (CTA) (tRNA-Sup-CTA-2-1)". It matches the Rfam family "tRNA". From Rfam's summary of the family: Transfer RNA (tRNA) molecules are approximately 80 nucleotides in length. Their secondary structure includes four short double-helical elements and three loops (D, anti-codon, and T loops). Further hydrogen bonds mediate the characteristic L-shaped molecular structure. tRNAs have two regions of fundamental functional importance: the anti-codon, which is responsible for specific mRNA codon recognition, and the 3' end, to which the tRNAs corresponding amino acid is attached (by aminoacyl-tRNA synthetases). tRNAs cope with the degeneracy of the genetic code in two manners: having more than one tRNA (with a specific anti-codon) for a particular amino acid; and 'wobble' base-pairing, i.e. permitting non-standard base-pairing at the 3rd anti-codon position. The record is from RNAcentral. Lineage: Eukaryota; Metazoa; Arthropoda; Insecta; Blattodea; Blattellidae.
CCUCUGGUAGCUCAGCUGGUAGAGCGGUGGACUCUAAUUCCAUAGGUCGCUGGUUCGAAUCCGGUUCAGAGGA